RNAcentral lists this unclassified non-coding RNA (508 nucleotides) under Hevea brasiliensis (rubber tree). Lineage: Eukaryota; Viridiplantae; Streptophyta; Magnoliopsida; Malpighiales; Euphorbiaceae. The record is from RNAcentral.
CUAUUGUUAACCUGUUAAACUUAAUUGAACUGGCCUUGGGCCCACUAUCAGGAAGCCCUGAUGUUGAAGUACAGGAGCGAUCUAAGAAUGUGCUUGGAUUUGUUGACCUGAUAAAGCAAGAAAUAUCCAAUGGUUUUGUUUCCGAGAGAGCAUCCAAAAUUAUUGACAUGGUGCAUGAUGCCUUCACCGAGGAGCUUGGGCCAGUCUCAGUAAAUGCUCAAGAGAAAGUUCCUAUUCCUGAUGGAUUAAUGCUUAAGGAGAAUCUUGCUGACUUGGACGCAAUUUGUGGAAAUGUACAGUUACCUUCAUCAAUUUCAUUUUCCAUGGGAAGUCCUUUUGGGGAGAGUGUUGGUGCUUCUGUCUCUAUCCCCCAAAGCAAAGAAGAGUCAGAACCAUCAAGUGAGUCCACUUCUUUGCUUGCAGAACACCGUAAGAGACAUGGGUUGUACUACCUACCGUCAGAGAAGAAUGAAACUUUAGCAAAUGAUUAUCCGCCUGCGAAUGACCC